AGCACCACAACGGUGGAGCCUGCGGUUUAAUUGGACUCAACGCCGGGCAGCUCACCGGAUAAGACAGCUGGAUGAUAGCCGGGCUGAAGACUCUGCUUGACUAGCUGAGAGGAGGUGCAUGGCCGUCGUCAGUUCGUACUGUGAAGCAUCCUGUUAAGUCAGGCAACGAGCGAGACCCACGCCAACAGUUGCCAGCUCGUCCUCCGGGAUGGUGGGGACACUGUUGGGACCGCCUCUGCUAAAGAGGAGGAAGGAAUGGGCAACGGUAGGUCAGCAUGCCCCGAAUUAUCUGGGCUACACGCGGGCUACAAUGGGUGGGACAAUGGGUAUCGACACCGAAAGGUGAAGGCAAUCUCCUAAACCCAUCCGUAGUUCGGAUUGUGGGCUGCAACUCGCCCACAUGAAGCUGGAAUCUGUAGUAAUCGUGUCUCAAAAUGGCACGGUGAAUAUGUCCCUGCUCCUU
This 463-nucleotide ribosomal RNA is filed under the name uncultured Methanomicrobiales archaeon. RNAcentral's name for it is "bacterial SSU rRNA". It matches the Rfam family "Archaeal small subunit ribosomal RNA", at positions 875 to 1338 of the family's 1478-position model. The record is from RNAcentral. Lineage: Archaea; Methanobacteriati; Methanobacteriota; Methanomicrobia; Methanomicrobiales.